Molecule: non-coding RNA, 206 nt
Filed under: Pongo abelii (Sumatran orangutan)
Lineage: Eukaryota; Metazoa; Chordata; Mammalia; Primates; Hominidae
Source: RNAcentral
AGGUAUUUUUUGAUUUUUAAGCUAUUUGUUAAGUACAUAAUAUUGAAAUGUAUGUUGUUUAAAUUAGGAUUUUCAAGUAAUUUACAUCGUCUUCUAAAUUCUUGGGGUCUAUCAAUCAGAAACGCUGGAAAGUUUAUGUACUGGUUUCACGUUGUUAAUAGAAUAUCUAUAAUAAAAUUCAAAUGCAUUAUUUAAAAAUAAGUGAA